This 493-nucleotide ribosomal RNA is filed under the name uncultured bacterium. RNAcentral describes it as "partial 16S ribosomal RNA". It matches the Rfam family "Bacterial small subunit ribosomal RNA", at positions 29 to 507 of the family's 1533-position model. The record is from RNAcentral.
ACGAACGCUGGCGGCGUGCUUCACCCAUGCCAGUCGAACGGUGAAGCGCCUUCCUUUUUGGUGGGUGUGGAUGAGUGGCGAACGGGUGAGUAACACGUGAGUAACCUGCCCCCUUCUUCUGGAUAACCGCAUGAAAGUGUGGCUAAUACGGGAUAUUCUGGGUCUGUCGCAUGAUGGGUCUGGGAAAGAUAUUGUUUCGGUGGGGGAUGGGCUCGCGGCCUAUCAGCUUGUUGGUGGGGUGAUGGCCUACCAAGGCGGUGACGGGUAGCCGGCCUGAGAGGGUGGACGGUCACACUGGGACUGAGACACGGCCCAGACUCCUACGGGAGGCAGCAGUGGGGAAUAUUGCACAAUGGGCGCAAGCCUGAUGCAGCGACGCCGCGUGAGGGAUGGAGGCCUUCGGGUUGUGAACCUCUUUCGCCAGUGAAGCAGGCCUGCCUCGUUUGUGGGUGGGUUGACGGUAGCUGGAGAAGAAGCGCCGGCUAACUACGUG